CCUACGGGUGGCAGCAGUAGGGAAUAUUGCUCAAUGGGGGAAACACUGAAGCAGCAAAGCCGCGUGGAGGAUGAAGGUUUUAGGAUUGUAAACUCCUUUUGUUAGAGGAGAUUAUGACGGUAUCUAACGAAUAAGCAGCGGCUAAAUCAGUGCCAGGACCCGCGGUAAUACGGGGGGUGCAAGGGUUACUCGGAAUCAAUGGGCGUAAAGGGGGCGUAGGGGGGGUAAUAAGGACGGUGGUAAAUCCUGUAGCUUAACCACAGAACUGCAUUUGAAACUGUUACUCUGGAGUGUGGGAGAGGUAUGUGGAAUUCUUGGUGUAGGGGUAAAAUCCGUAGAGAUCAAGAGGAAUACUCAUUGCGAAGGCGACCUGCUGGAACAUUACUGACGCUGAUGCACGAAAGCGUGGGGAGCAAACAGGAUUAGAUACCCUUGUAGUC
Molecule: ribosomal RNA, 440 nt
Filed under: uncultured bacterium
Lineage: Bacteria
Description: partial 16S ribosomal RNA
Rfam family: Bacterial small subunit ribosomal RNA
Source: RNAcentral